UGGAUUAUGGAGGGAAGCUGAGAUAUAUAGGUGAGAGUUUGAAUUCAGUUAGAGCUUGAAGUUAGUUACAAAAGGGAGAAGCUUGAGCCAAUGGAUCAAAAAGUUGGUUGAAGAUUGAAGGUCCAGAUUCAAUGUAGUUAAAGGGAGCACUUGAAUCUUAUGGUGAUUGGACUUGGCUCAGCUUUACUAUGCACUUGGCAAAAUUUGAAGGAGGAAGCAUGUAUAAGAACAUUAGGAAUAGACUUAUGAUCUCUUUUUCCUUUUGUAAUUUUUUGUACUGCAACUCUGUAACUUUGUAAUGAAUACCUCUCAACAUUGUAAUAAAAUUUAAAUUUCUGAAUUUUUA
This is a long non-coding RNA of Vicia villosa (hairy vetch), 346 nucleotides long. RefSeq lists it as uncharacterized. The record is from RefSeq and is a predicted model, not a curated record. The transcript has 2 exons. NCBI's taxonomy places the organism in Eukaryota, Viridiplantae, Streptophyta, Magnoliopsida, Fabales, Fabaceae.